CCUUGCGAGCGGCUCGACCGGGGCUCCCAGGACGCCGGCCCCUGCGCCUGACGGCGGGGCUCGCGUCCGCUGCUCUGGGACCGCUGCUCUGAGGGGGACACCUUGAAGGUUUCUUCUCCCCGGCUCCUAAUGAAACGGUAAAACCGUCCGGCUGGAAACAUUCCUAGAGAUGAUCUCGCCGACCACCACGUUUUUAUUAACGGGACGAUUGAGAAGACGGGAGGCGACGGAGGUAGGACUCCGGAGUCGAACGAGCCGGGGUUUGACCCGUGCGAGCAAGGGCGCGCGACCGGGUGUCCUCGAGCCUUUGUUUUCUUCGUCUGCCUCCUAGAGUUGGUCGUACGCCCCCCCUCACCGAUCUGUUUCAAAAGGCAUGAGGGAUAAAUAAUAAAUAAUGAAUAAAUAAAUAAAUAAAUAAAUAAAUAAAUAAAUAAAUAAAUAAAUAAAUAAAUAAAUAAAUAAUAAAAGGCAUGAGGACACUAGCGCCGGGAGGCGAGCACGGAGAAAGCGUUCGUUUUUGUAGUGCCAGUAGACAUCUUCUGAAUUAAAAAAAUAAACACUUGCACUAAGCUCACAGACUACGUAGAGAAAUGAAGAAGACCUUUCCUCUUUCCAGUAUUGGUGCCUGGCCAGAAAUUUAGUGUAUAUUAAGGCUAUUUUUUAGUGACUGUUGUCGAAAGAAGUUGCUUCUAAAUUAAUCCUGAGAAUUGAAACACCAGGUGGUUUUAGCAGAGUCUGAGUUGGCACUGAUGAUUCUGGUUAUGAAAAUCAAAACCAUUAAGGAAGAAAAGUCUUAGCACUGGACCUCCAUAGCUGUGGAGCAGGCACUUGGGGGCACCAGCCACUGCUGAAUGCUUUGGGCAGCUAUCAGAAGCCCAUCUGCCCUUUAAGCCUCAACAGAACAGAGGGACUUCUACACAGAGGUGGAGCUGGAGCAGGCAGGAAGAAAAUGGUGGUGAAGACAACUAUUCUGCAGGUGCACUUGGAGGCUUCACAAAACCAUUUGGGGAGAGAUAAAGAAGUUUGACUUUUCUGCAGAAUGAAUGGAUGCAGAGCCAAAGAAUUACUGUUUUGCAACUGUUGUUGCAGCUCUUUAUUUACUGUAAAGGAUGAUGUUGCCUAACAAACAGGUCUACAAAAGAAGAGCAUUUAUUGCUAAGGUAUCGCUGAAGCUCUUUAAAAUCUGUUAAAGAUAAAAUGUAAAAUAUAAAAAUAUAUAAAAUAUGUACACAUACUCCAAAUACAAUUUAAUAACCUGAGUCAAAAAGUGUAUUUUUUAAUAUAAAGGUUAAAAUUAAGUUAGUACAUAGAUGCCAGAAGUCCCUUUCAUUAUAA
This is a long non-coding RNA of Nyctereutes procyonoides (raccoon dog), 1335 nucleotides long. RefSeq lists it as uncharacterized. Lineage: Eukaryota; Metazoa; Chordata; Mammalia; Carnivora; Canidae. The transcript has 3 exons. The record is from RefSeq and is a predicted model, not a curated record.